CGUGUAGGCGGCUUGGUAAGCCAGAUGUGAAAGCCCUGGGCUCAACCCAGGAAGUGCAUUUGAAACUACUAGACUUGAGUACGGGAGAGGAGGGGGGAAUUCCCGGUGUAGAGGUGAAAUUCGUAGAUAUCGGGAGGAAUACCGGUGGCGAAGGCGCCCCUCUGGACCGAUACUGACGCUGAGACGCGAAAGCGUGGGGAGCAAACA
Molecule: ribosomal RNA, 207 nt
Filed under: uncultured bacterium
Lineage: Bacteria
Description: partial 16S ribosomal RNA
Rfam family: Bacterial small subunit ribosomal RNA
Source: RNAcentral